This 481-nucleotide ribosomal RNA is filed under the name uncultured bacterium. RNAcentral's name for it is "partial 16S ribosomal RNA". It matches the Rfam family "Bacterial small subunit ribosomal RNA", at positions 28 to 507 of the family's 1533-position model. The record is from RNAcentral.
GAUGAACGCUAGCGGCAGGCCUAAUACAUGCAAGUCGGACGGGAUUCAGGAGCUUGCUUCUGAUGAGAGUGGCGCACGGGUGCGUAACACGUAUGUAACCUACCUUUAUCAGGGGGAUAGCCUCUCGAAAGAGAGAUUAAGCCCGCAUAAAAUCACAGCACAGCAUUGUGUAAUAUCAAAUAUUUAUAGGAUAAAGAUGGGCAUGCGGAACAUUAGCUAGAUGGCGGGGUAACGGCCCACCAUGGCGACGAUGUUUAGGGGAUCUGAGAGGAUGGCCCACCACACUGGUACUGAGGCACGGACCAGACUCCUACGGGAGGCAGCAGUAAGGAAGAUAGGUCAAUGGGCGGAAGCCUGAACCAGCCAUGCCGCGUGCAGGAAGACGGCCCUACGGGUUGUAAUCUGCUUUUAUACGGAAAUAAACCCAGAUACGUGUAUCUGGCUGAAUGUACUGUAAGAAUAAGGAUCGGCUAACUCCGUG